GUUGUAUGGUUAAGUGACUAAGCGUACACGGUGGAUGCCUGGGCAGUCAGAGGCGAUGAAGGACGUACUAACUUGCGAUAAGCGCAGAUAAGGCAGUAAGAGCCGUUUGAGUCUGCGAUUUCCGAAUGGGGAAACCCAACUGCAUAAGCAGUUACUGUUAACUGAAUACAUAGGUUAACAGAGCAAACCGGGGGAACUGAAACAUCUAAGUACCCCGAGGAGAAGAAAUCAACCGAGAUUCCGGUAGUAGCGGCGAGCGAACCUGGAUUAGCCCUUAAGCACUCGGUGAAGUAGGUGAACAAGCUGGAAAGCUUGGCGAUACAGGGUGAUAGCCCCGUAACCGACGCUUCAUCGAGCGUGAAAUCGAGUAGGGCGGGACACGUGAUAUCCUGUCUGAAUAUGGGGGGACCAUCCUCCAAGGCUAAAUACUCCUGACUGACCGAUAGUGAACCAGUACCGUGAGGGAAAGGCGAAAAGAACCCCUGUGAGGGGAGUGAAAUAGAACCUGAAACCGUGUACGUACAAGCAGUAGGAGCAGGCUUUGUCCUGUGACUGCGUACCUUUUGUAUAAUGGGUCAGCGACUUAUAUUCAGUGGCAAGGUUAACCGUAUAGGGGAGCCGUAGCGAAAGCGAGUCUUAACUGGGCGUUCAGUCUCUGGAUAUAGACCCGAAACCGGGUGAUCUAGCCAUGGGCAGGUUGAAGGUUGAGUAACAUCAACUGGAGGACCGAACCGACUAAUGUUGAAAAAUUAGCGGAUGACUUGUGGCUAGGGGUGAAAGGCCAAUCAAACUCGGAGAUAGCUGGUUCUCCCCGAAAGCUAUUUAGGUAGCGCCUCGGACGAAUACUACUGGGGGUAGAGCACUGUUAAGGCUAGGGGGUCAUCCCGACUUACCAACCCUUUGCAAACUCCGAAUACCAGUAAGUACUAUCCGGGAGACACACGGCGGGUGCUAACGUCCGUCGUGGAGAGGGAAACAACCCAGACCGCCAGCUAAGGUCCCAAAGUAUUGCUAAGUGGGAAACGAUGUGGGAAGGCUCAGACAGCUAGGAUGUUGGCUUAGAAGCAGCCAUCAUUUAAAGAAAGCGUAAUAGCUCACUAGUCGAGUCGGCCUGCGCGGAAGAUGUAACGGGGCUAAGCAAUACACCGAAGCUGCGGCAAUGUCUUUUAGACAUUGGGUAGGGGAGCGUUCUGUAAGCCGUUGAAGGUGAAUCGUAAGGUUUGCUGGAGGUAUCAGAAGUGCGAAUGCUGACAUGAGUAACGACAAAGGGGGUGAAAAACCUCCUCGCCGGAAGACCAAGGGUUCCUGUCCAACGUUAAUCGGGGCAGGGUGAGUCGACCCCUAAGGUGAGGCCGAAAGGCGUAAUCGAUGGGAAACGGGUUAAUAUUCCCGUACUUCUGACUAUUGCGAUGGGGGGACGGAGAAGGCUAGGUGGGCCAGGCGACGGUUGUCCUGGUUCAAGUGCGUAGGCUUGAGAGUUAGGUAAAUCCGGCUCUCUUUAAGGCUGAGACACGACGUCGAGCUGCUACGGCAGUGAAGUCAUUGAUGCCAUGCUUCCAGGAAAAGCCUCUAAGCUUCAGAUAGUCAGGAAUCGUACCCCAAACCGACACAGGUGGUCGGGUAGAGAAUACCAAGGCGCUUGAGAGAACUCGGGUGAAGGAACUAGGCAAAAUGGUACCGUAACUUCGGGAGAAGGUACGCUCUUGAUGGUGAAGUCCCUCGCGGAUGGAGCUGACGAGAGUCGCAGAUACCAGGUGGCUGCAACUGUUUAUUAAAAACACAGCACUGUGCAAAAUCGCAAGAUGACGUAUACGGUGUGACGCCUGCCCGGUGCCGGAAGGUUAAUUGAUGGGGUUAGCGCAAGCGAAGCUCUUGAUCGAAGCCCCGGUAAACGGCGGCCGUAACUAUAACGGUCCUAAGGUAGCGAAAUUCCUUGUCGGGUAAGUUCCGACCUGCACGAAUGGCGUAAUGAUGGCCACGCUGUCUCCACCCGAGACUCAGUGAAAUUGAAAUCGCUGUGAAGAUGCAGUGUACCCGCGGCUAGACGGAAAGACCCCGUGAACCUUUACUACAGCUUGGCACUGAACAUUGAACCUACAUGUGUAGGAUAGGUGGGAGGCUAUGAAGACGUGACGCCAGUUGCGUUGGAGCCGUCCUUGAAAUACCACCCUUGUAUGUUUGAUGUUCUAACUUAGACCCAUUAUCUGGGUUGAGGACAGUGCCUGGUGGGUAGUUUGACUGGGGCGGUCUCCUCCCAAAGAGUAACGGAGGAGCACGAAGGUGGGCUAAUCACGGUUGGACAUCGUGAGGUUAGUGCAAUGGCAUAAGCCCGCUUAACUGCGAGAAUGACGGUUCGAGCAGGUGCGAAAGCAGGUCAUAGUGAUCCGGUGGUUCUGUAUGGAAGGGCCAUCGCUCAACGGAUAAAAGGUACUCCGGGGAUAACAGGCUGAUACCGCCCAAGAGUUCAUAUCGACGGCGGUGUUUGGCACCUCGAUGUCGGCUCAUCACAUCCUGGGGCUGAAGUCGGUCCCAAGGGUAUGGCUGUUCGCCAUUUAAAGUGGUACGCGAGCUGGGUUUAGAACGUCGUGAGACAGUUCGGUCCCUAUCUGCCGUGGGCGUUGGAAGAUUGAAGGGGGCUGCUCCUAGUACGAGAGGACCGGAGUGGACGAACCUCUGGUGUUCGGGUUGUGUCGCCAGACGCAUUGCCCGGUAGCUAAGUUCGGAAUUGAUAAGCGCUGAAAGCAUCUAAGCGCGAAGCGAGCCCUGAGAUGAGUCUUCCCUGAUACUUUAAGUAUCCUAAAGGGUUGUUCGAGACUAGAACGUUGAUAGGCAGGGUGUGUAAGCGUUGUGAGGCGUUGAGCUAACCUGUACUAAUUGCCCGUGAGGCUUAACCAUACAACACCCAAGGGGUUUUGUA
RNAcentral lists this ribosomal RNA (2917 nucleotides) under Vibrio cholerae. Its description in RNAcentral is "23S ribosomal RNA". It matches the Rfam family "Bacterial large subunit ribosomal RNA". The record is from RNAcentral. Lineage: Bacteria; Pseudomonadati; Pseudomonadota; Gammaproteobacteria; Vibrionales; Vibrionaceae.